GCAAGUCGAGCGGUAACAGAGAUAGCUUGCUAUCUGCUGACGAGCGGCGGACGGGUGAGUAAUGCUUGGGAAUAUGCCUUUAGGUGGGGGACAACAGUUGGAAACGACUGCUAAUACCGCAUGAUGUCUACGGACCAAAGUGGGGGACCUUCGGGCCUCUCGCGUCAAGAUAUGCCUAGGUGGGAUUAGCUAGUUGGUGAGGUAAUGGCUCACCAAGGCGACGAUCCCUAGCUGGUCUGAGAGGAUGAUC
Molecule: ribosomal RNA, 250 nt
Filed under: uncultured bacterium
Lineage: Bacteria
Description: partial 16S ribosomal RNA
Rfam family: Bacterial small subunit ribosomal RNA
Source: RNAcentral